CCCUUAGAUGUUCUGGGCCGCACGCGUGCUACACUGAUGCAUUCAACGAGUCUAAAACCUGGUCUGAUAGGGCUGGGUAAUCUUUUGAAAGUGCAUCGUGAUUGGGAUAGAUGAUUGCAAUUCUUCAUCUUCAACGAGGAAUGCCUAGUAAACGCAAGUCAUCAGCUUGCAUUGAUUACGUCCCUGCCCUUUGUACACACCGCCCGCCGCUCCUACCGAUUGAAUGAUCCGAUGAAUACCAUGGAUUGAGAGUACGAAUAGGUUCGCUUAUUUCUGCUGCUCGAGAAGUGGAGUAAAUCUUAUCAUUUAGAGGAAGGAGAAGUCGUAACA
This 330-nucleotide ribosomal RNA is filed under the name uncultured eukaryote. RNAcentral's name for it is "partial 18S ribosomal RNA". It matches the Rfam family "Eukaryotic small subunit ribosomal RNA", at positions 1470 to 1796 of the family's 1831-position model. The record is from RNAcentral.